GGCGCGGUAGCCAAGUGGUAAGGCAAGGGUCUGCAAAACCCUUAUUCGUCGGUUCGAUCCCGACCCGCGCCUCCA
RNAcentral lists this transfer RNA (75 nucleotides) under Acidobacteriota bacterium. RNAcentral describes it as "tRNA-Cys". It matches the Rfam family "tRNA". Rfam says of the family: Transfer RNA (tRNA) molecules are approximately 80 nucleotides in length. Their secondary structure includes four short double-helical elements and three loops (D, anti-codon, and T loops). The record is from RNAcentral. RNAcentral also lists the same sequence under 3 other names. Lineage: Bacteria; Pseudomonadati; Acidobacteriota.